This 575-nucleotide ribosomal RNA is filed under the name uncultured bacterium gp4. RNAcentral's name for it is "bacterial SSU rRNA". It matches the Rfam family "Bacterial small subunit ribosomal RNA", at positions 102 to 694 of the family's 1533-position model. The record is from RNAcentral.
ACGGGUGAGUAACACGUAGGUAAUCUACCUUCGAGUGGGGAAUAACAGUCGGAAACGGCUGCUAAUACCGCAUAAUGCAGCGGCAUCGCAAGAUGACAGUUGUUAAAGAUUUAUCGCUUGAAGAGGAGCUUGCGGCAGAUUAGCUAGUUGGUAAGGUAAUGGCUUACCAAGGCUACGAUCUGUAACCGGUCUAAGAGGACGGUCGGUCACACUGACACUGAAUAACGGGUCAGACUCCUACGGGAGGCAGCAGUCGGGAAUUUUGGGCAAUGGGCGAAAGCCUGACCCAGCAACGCCGCGUGAAGGAUGAAGUAUUUCGGUAUGUAAACUUCGAAAGAAUAGGACGAAUUAAUGACGGUACUAUUUAUAAGGUCCGGCUAACUACGUGCCAGCAGCCGCGGUAAUACGUAGGGACCAAGCGUUGUUCGGAUUUACUGGGCGUAAAGGGCGCGUAGGCGGCAUGACAAGUCACUUGUGAAAUCUCCGGGCUUAACUCGGAACGGCCAAGUGAUACUGUCACGCUAAAGUGCGGAAGGGGCAAUCAGAAUUCUUGGUGUAGCGGUGAAAUGCGUAGA